UACCGGGACAGCACACGUACAUCUAGCCGACGUCGGCCCAAGACUGAAACGUCGGCCUCAUUACCUAAAACAUCUAAUAAGCGUCGGCCAGGCAUAGGCCGAUAUAAUUCGGUCAGUGCUCUGUUUCUCAGCUCAUCAAGCGUCGGCUCUGAGUCGGCUCACGACCGGAGGCCGAUGCCGCGCCUUUCUGUUUGCUGGAGCCCAGUUAUUCAUCUCUUAGCAACCUACAGAGAGAAGAGACUCAUCCCGCGACAUCUGGGGCUUUCAGGAGGACAGAAAGAAACUACAGAACAGAUGGGAAGCUCCAAGAUUUCAACAUUUCUGAAGGCACUGCUGACGGAGAAGUAGAAAAUACAGGCAUUUAUGCAGCAGCAAAAGAGGCAUUCUCUGCUCUAGGACCACAGUGCAAAAAUUGACUGAACAAAACUGUAGCCAUGGGGGCAGAUGGGGCAGCUGUAAAUCUUGGACACAAGCGGGGGGUAAUAUCCCUUGUCCAGGCAGAGGCAGGGAACUACAUUGUUCCUUUCCAUUGUAUGCCUCACA
Long non-coding RNA from Sinocyclocheilus anshuiensis, 543 nucleotides. RefSeq lists it as uncharacterized. The record is from RefSeq and is a predicted model, not a curated record. The transcript is spliced from 3 exons. NCBI's taxonomy places the organism in Eukaryota, Metazoa, Chordata, Actinopteri, Cypriniformes, Cyprinidae.